Molecule: ribosomal RNA, 253 nt
Filed under: uncultured bacterium
Lineage: Bacteria
Description: partial 16S ribosomal RNA
Rfam family: Bacterial small subunit ribosomal RNA
Source: RNAcentral
GACGAAGGGGGCAAGCGUUGUUCGGAAUUACUGGGCGUAAAGGGCGCGUAGGCGGCCUGAUAAGUCAGACGUGAAAGGCCUUGGCUCAACCUGGGAAUUGCGUUUGGGACUGUUGGGCUGGAGAGCGGGAGAGGAUGGUGGAAUUCCCAGUGUAGAGGUGAAAUGCGUAGAUAUUGGGAGGAACACCAGUGGCGAAGGCGGUCCCCUGGGCCGGAACUGACGCUGAGGCGCGAAAGCGUGGGUAGCAAACGGG